GACGAACGCUGGCGGCGUGCUUAACACAUGCAAGUCGAACGGAAAGGCCCUGCUUUUGUGGGGUGCUCGAGUGGCGAACGGGUGAGUAACACGUGAGUAACCUGCCCUUGACUUUGGGAUAACUUCAGGAAACUGGGGCUAAUACCUGAUAGGAGCUCCUGCUGCAUGGUGGGGGUUGGAAAGUUUCGGCGGUUGGGGAUGGACUCGCGGCUUAUCAGCUUGUUGGUGGGGUAGUGGCUUACCAAGGCUUUGACGGGUAGCCGGCCUGAGAGGGUGACCGGCGACAUUGGGACUGAGAGACGGCCCAGACGGCUACGGGAGGCAGCAGUGGGGAAUAUUGCACAAUGGGCGGAAGCCUGAUGCAGCAACGCCGCGUGCGGGAUGACGGCCUUCGGGUUGUAAACCGCUUUCGCCUGUGACGAAGCGUGAGUGACGGUAAUGGGUAAAGAAGCACCGGCUAACUACGUG
This 468-nucleotide ribosomal RNA is filed under the name uncultured bacterium. RNAcentral's name for it is "partial 16S ribosomal RNA". It matches the Rfam family "Bacterial small subunit ribosomal RNA", at positions 28 to 507 of the family's 1533-position model. The record is from RNAcentral.